Molecule: ribosomal RNA, 402 nt
Filed under: Verrucomicrobiota bacterium
Lineage: Bacteria; Pseudomonadati; Verrucomicrobiota
Description: Verrucomicrobia bacterium partial 16S ribosomal RNA
Rfam family: Bacterial small subunit ribosomal RNA
Source: RNAcentral
UGGGGAAUUUUGCACAAUGGGGGAAACCCUGAUGCAGCGACGCCGCGUGAUUUAGAAGGCCUUCGGGUUGUAAAAAUCUUUUCUAUGGGAAGAAAAUGACAGUACCAUAGGAAUAAGGACCGGCUAAUUACGUGCCAGCAGCCGCGGUAAUACGUAAGGUCCGAGCGUUGUCCGGAAUCAUUGGGCGUAAAGGGUACGUAGGCGGGUAAGCAAGUUAGAAGUGAAAUCCUGUAGCUCAACUACAGUAAGCUUUUAAAACUGCUCAUCUUGAGAUAUGGAAGGGAAAGUGGAAUUCCUAGUGUAGCGGUGAAAUGCGCAGAUAUUAGGAGGAUUACCGGUGGCGAAGGCGACUUUCUGGCCAUAAUCUGACGCUGAGGUACGAAAGCGUGGGUAGCAAACAGG